Molecule: non-coding RNA, 31 nt
Filed under: Rattus norvegicus (Norway rat)
Lineage: Eukaryota; Metazoa; Chordata; Mammalia; Rodentia; Muridae
Source: RNAcentral
UGCUCCAGCGAUACUACCAGAUUGUGCUUUU